GACGAACGCUGGCGGCGUGCCUAAAACAUGCAAGUCGAACGAACUAGCAAUAGUUAGUGGCGAACGGCGGAGUAAUACAUGAAGAACGUGCCCUGAAGACCGGGAUAGCCGUGGGAAACUGCGAGUAAUACCGGAUGCGGCUGGAGAAUGGCAUCAUUUUCCAACCAAAUGGUUUUUCGCUUCAGGAGCGCUUCAUGGCCUAUCAGCUAGUUGGUGAGGUAAUGGCUCACCAAGGCGACGACGGGUAGGGGGUCUAAGAGGAUGAUCCCUCGAGUGGGACUGAGACACGGCCCACACACCUACGGGUGGCAGCAGUUGGGAAUCUUGCACAAUGGGGAAACCCUGAUGCAGCGACGCCGCGUGGAGGAUGAAGGAUCUAGGUCUGUAAACUCCUUUUCAUGGAAAGACUUAGGACGGUACCAUGAGAAUAAGCCCCGGCUAACUACGUGCCAGCAGCCGCGGUAAAUCACGUGUAA
This 476-nucleotide ribosomal RNA is filed under the name uncultured bacterium. RNAcentral's name for it is "bacterial SSU rRNA". It matches the Rfam family "Bacterial small subunit ribosomal RNA", at positions 28 to 532 of the family's 1533-position model. The record is from RNAcentral.